Long non-coding RNA from Pecten maximus, 812 nucleotides. RefSeq lists it as uncharacterized. Lineage: Eukaryota; Metazoa; Mollusca; Bivalvia; Pectinida; Pectinidae. The transcript has 3 exons. The record is from RefSeq and is a predicted model, not a curated record.
AGCAAGAUGAUAGGAUAGAAAGAUAGGGACAGGUGACACACAUAGAGGGAGAGAGUAAGAUGAUAGGAUAGAAAGAUAGGGACAGGUGACACACAUAGAGGGAGAGAGUAAGAUGAUAGGAUAGAAAGAUAGGGACAGGUGACACACAUAGAGGGAGAGAGUAAGAUGAUAGGAUAGAAAGAUAGGGACAGGUGACACACAUAGAGGGAGAGAGUAAGAUGAUAGGAUAGAAAGAUAGGGACAGGUGACACACAUAGAGGGAGAGAGUAAGAUGAUAGGAUAGAAAGAUAGGGACAGGUGACACACAUAGAGGGAGAGAGUAAGAUGAUAGGAUAGAAAGAUAGGGACAGGUGACACACAUAGAGGGAGAGAGUAAGAUGAUAGGAUAGAAAGAUAGGGACAGGUGACACACAUAGAGGGAGAGAGUAAGAUGAUAGGAUAGAAAGAUAGGGACAGGUGACACACAUAGAGGGAGAGAGUAAGAUGAUAGGAUAGAAAGAUAGGGACAGGUGACACACAUAGAGGGAGAGAGUAAGAUGAUAGGAUAGAAAGAUAGGGACAGGUGACACACAUAGAGGGAGAGAGUAAGAUGAUAGGAUAGAAAGAUAGGGACAGGUGACACACAUAGAGGGAGAGAGUAAGAUGAUAGGAUAGAAAGAUCGGGACAGGUGACACACAUAGAGGGAGAGAGUAAGAUGAUAGGAUAGAAAGAUCGGGACAGGUGACACAUAGAGGGAGAGAGUAAGAUGAUAGGAUAUAAAGAUAGGGACAGGUGACAUAUAGAGGGAGAGAGUAAGAUGAUAGGAUAGAAA